RNAcentral lists this ribosomal RNA (586 nucleotides) under uncultured bacterium. Its description in RNAcentral is "partial 16S ribosomal RNA". It matches the Rfam family "Bacterial small subunit ribosomal RNA", at positions 355 to 1375 of the family's 1533-position model. The record is from RNAcentral.
UGGGGAAUUUUGGACAAUGGGCGAAAGCCUGAUCCAGCAAUGCCGCGUGUGUGAAGAAGGCCUUCGGGUUGUAAAGCACUUUUGUCCGGAAAGAAAUCCUUGGCUCUAAUACAGUCGGGGGAUGACGGUACCGGAAGAAUAAGCACCGGCUAACUACGUGCCAGCAGCCGCGGUAAUACGUAGGGUGCAAGCGUUAAUCGGAAUUACUGGGCGUAAAGCGUGCGCAGGCGGUUUGCUAAGACCGAUGUGAAAUCCCCGGGCUCAACCUGGGAACUGCAUUGGUGACUGGCAGGCUAGAGUAUGGCAGAGGGGGGUAGAAUUCCACGUGUAGCAGUGAAAUGCGUAGAGAUGUGGAGGAAUACCGAUGGCGAAGGCAGCCCCCUGGGCAAUACUGACGCUCAUGCACGAAAGCGUGGGGGAGCAAACAGGAUUAGAUACCCCUGGUAGUCCACGCCCUAAACGAUGUCAACUAGUUGUUGGGGAUUCAUUUCCUUAGUAACGUAGCUAACGCGUGAAGUUGACCGCCUGGGGAGUACGGUCGCAAGAUUAAAACUCAAAUGAAUUGACGGGGUCAUAGCUGUUUCCU